RNAcentral lists this ribosomal RNA (446 nucleotides) under uncultured bacterium. RNAcentral's name for it is "partial 16S ribosomal RNA". It matches the Rfam family "Bacterial small subunit ribosomal RNA", at positions 338 to 795 of the family's 1533-position model. The record is from RNAcentral.
CCUACGGGAGUCAGCAGUCGAGAAUCAUUCACAAUGGGGGAAACCCUGAUGGUGCGACGCCGCGUGGGGGAAUGAAGGUCUUCGGAUUGUACACCCCUGUCAUGUGGGAGCAAAUUAAAAAGAUAGUACCACAAGAGGAAGAGACGGCUAACUCUGUGCCAGCAGCCGCGGUAAUACAGAGGUCUCAAGCGUUGUUCGGAAUCACUGGGCGUAAAGCGUGCGUAGGCUGUUUCUGAAGUCGUGUGUGAAAGGCGCGGGCUCAACCCGCGGACGGCACAUGAUACUGCGAGACUAGAGUAAUGGAGGGGGAACCGGAAUUCUCGGUGUAGCAGUGAAAUGCGUAGAUAUCGAGAGGAACACUCGUGGCGAAGGCGGGUUCCUGGACAUUAACUGACGCUGAGGCACGAAGGCCAGGGGAGCGAAAGGGAUUAGAUACCCCGGUAGUC